UAACAUUGCACACUGAGAGGUGUGCAACUGUUGCACUAAUGCCUAGCUUUAAGCGUGUUUGCACCCUGUCUUGAUGCUAGGUAGGCAUCAGAAAAUUCUCUUUGACUCGGAUUGGGAAAGGUGAAACUGGAAAUAAAAGGACAUAAAACAUGUCCAAACCCUACAAAUUACCAACUAGAUCCAAGUUGCAAAUUAUAGGAGAAGGAAUGAAAGAAAACUACACUUGAUAUCAAUUCACUGAUCUACAAAGUAUCUCUCUGUGUACUCAGGGGAUUUCCUUUAGAGUUUUGUCAUGAGAGAUUAUGUCCUCCCACAUGCCCUACAUCUCAGACUCUUUAUGCAGGGAGAUCCUAGAAGAGAGUCUUAGCUAUUACACCUGAUGACUUGCAUCCCUCUGGGGGUUCCCUUCAGUCACCCCAUUUUCCCUUCCAAAAUACACUUACCUUUGGGUUAUUCAGGGAAUAUAUUUUUAGCUUCUGCUGGUAAAAGGGCUCUUUCACUUUUUGAAGAUGCAGGUGCUACUUUUGUGGACUGGACAGUGUUUCCUGUACUGGACUGGCCUGGGGUCAUUGCUUAACUCUGAAAGGUAUUUUCAUCUCCCUCACUCCCAUGGUGAGCCAAUUUGUAUGCUUCAGUGUGAAGUGCCUCCAUCCACUAACCCCAUCUUUCUUCAUGCACAAGCUGAUGUAAAAUGUAUGUAGCUCAUUUCUUCUUUUGAGAGCGGAUGCUUUGGGUGAAAAAUAGGUUUGAAGCGAUUGACUCUUCAAAUCAAUCUUUGGUAUUCCAACACAUAUAAUUGAGCUACCUAGGUUUCUUUGUCUUUGCAAACCACACUGCGGGGCAGGAAAGUGCUAUUCUCUGUAUUAUUUCUAGCAAACCAGAACACAAAGAGGCUGAGAAGAUAUUACCUGAGUAUUUCAAAAAUCAGUCUUGUUUAGAAGCCCCUCUAUGGCAGAAUCAGUGUACAGGCCACAAGUCUUGUACUGAAUACCCCAAGUACCUAGUCCUUGCAUCUUAAGUCCUGUGUUUCCCACAGCAGACCUCAUCCCAAAUGGACACAGACAAUGAGCAGCUCUCUGUGCCUUCUAGACAUUUCUCUGCCUGUGCUUUAAAAGUCCAAGAAGAGAUUGAAGGGGUUGGAGAAGCUUAUGUUCAAAAGUUAUUGAUUAACAGGCAGCAGCCCAGUACCUAGCCCAUGUGUUAGGGAUGUGGGGAAAUGAAGGAUUGAUGCCCAGCUUUGCUUAAAAUGUUCAAAACCUUUCAGCAUUUCAAGCAGAAUAAGAAAGAGACUGGCAACUCAGGUACUUUAUGGUGGGAAUAACUCUCUCACAACUUUAAUCUCUCUCAAAAUAUUUGAGUUUAUGUUGAAGCAUGGAUGGAUGCUUUGGGAGGAGGUGGAUGAUGCCCCAUAUGAACUGCUGUGUUUGCCAUCUUAUUGGUCCCAAGACUUUGACUUCUGGAUAACAGUAGUGUGACAAUUGUUAAUCUCUAAGAAUCACUUAAUCCAUUUGGUUGGAUUAUACAUCUAGCUUGCUCUUAAAAUCUUGGGGUGUGGUACUUGUUUCCAAUUUUCAUGCUGAAAGAAGAGUUAUUUGCAAGCCUAUCAAGGUUCUGCUAGUUAAAAGCUAUAAAAUGUAAUUUUAUAACCCUUUAUUUUCUCAAAGUGUGUAUCUAAGGAAGCAUUUCAGUAGGCUGAAGUAGUAUUGAUGUAUUGUCUAAUGGAUCUACAGCAAACACUACUCCUCUGUGGAGGGCAAUCUAAGGACUGUGGCCCAAAAACCAAGUAAUAGCUGAAAUGUAAUCAUCAUCAGCAAGACAAUGAGUUUAUGACAGGAAUUACUAUAGGGAGAAAAAAAACGCUUUGGACCGAACAAAUACUUCCUGAAGGGGUGGAUGCAUGGCUUUAUGCUUAUGAUUGAGAAAGUUCAGGUUAAGUUUGCUGAGGGGGAUAUUUCUGUGAAAUCUCUCUUGAUGAAAGUCAGGUCCUUCAUUUAAAAAGGCUGUCAUACUGUCUGCAAUCUAUUUAUCAAACAAGGAUGGAAGACAGUUCUCUUCAAAUUUAUAGCAUCAUCAGCUAGUAAAUGUAUAAGUAAACUGAAGUAGAAAGUGUUGUGUUGGUUUAAAAACUGAUUACUUUCUGGAAAAGACCUCUGUCUCUGUUUGCUUGUCUCAUUAUUGCGACAGCAUUUCUCUGAUAGCUUGCUGCUGCCAGUCCUUGUUAGACAGGCAAACACAUAGGUGCUCUGUGGGAGCUGCUGUGUCGUCCUCUGGAUGGACUUUGUCCUCUCUUCCCAGUUUCCCUGUGGUAGGCUAGUGCAAACUGAGUAUUGGGAAACUCUUGAUUUCAAAGGUGAGAGUCUUGUAAUUAUGGCUUCAAUUUUCAUCUGUCAGAGAAGCCUCAUAGUCUUCAUCUACCCCAACGGUGUGAGAUGGGGUCCAUGUGCACUAACAUUUGGAUGUUUAAAUAAUCAAAACUACUGACUGAAAUCCUUUUUACAAUCACUGAACUGCCUUUGUAGAAUGAUCUGUCUGGUUCUAUCACAGUGGUUGCAAAGUGACAGGCUCAAGUGUUUAAACUUAAGUGAAAGCAAUGUCACCUCUUUUACUCAGAUCUUACUGGAAAGAGUUCUGGCCAGGCAUAGAGGACCAGAUGUUCAGAGGAGCUCAGCUCUUAAGGUUAGGCACUUAAAUGAGGUCAGUUUUUCACUUUUGUUUCUCUCCAUGUAAACUAGAAGGAGCUCAGCAGAGGUGCAAAGGGAAGUUUUGUGAUUUCAGUUCAAUGUCAAAAAUAAAGCAAUGUCAAAAAUACAGCAAUGACAAAAGGAUCUGAAUGUCUCAGGAAAUUGCAGCAUUUUGGCACCAUUGAUCUCAAGUCAGGGAAAGAGUUGAAAUACAUCAACAGAAAGUUCACAGAGCACAGAGGUCUUUUACUUCGUUAUUUUGCAGUGAUAACAAUAUUUCAGCAUUUAUAAAUUGUACUUUUGAUUUUGUUAAUCUCUUCGGGGUUGCAGGACUCAUAUCGGGGGACAGGGGGUCAGUUCCAGAAUAUUUUGUGCCUAUUUAUUCUCUGUUUCUCACAGCCAAAAUUAGCAGACAAAGCUCAAAACUCCUGUUUGUCUGUGGUCCUUCUCCCUGUCCUAUUCAAAAAACAAAUGCAGAACUGGGCUUUACAGAGUAUGAGAACAACCACUGUGAUAAAGAGGAUAAGAGAAAGUACUUGAUUUAGUGCCUGUGCUUGACCAACAGGUGAACUAAUUGCUGGUAAACAAGCUAAGUGGGUUGAUCUGUAGCUACAAAUAGUAAAAGGCUGUCGUUCCAGCUUUUGUGGAAACUUUGAAAGCUUUUCAAAGCACCUGCUUUUUAUUAUGCUGCUCUCUCAAUGUUUGACAUAUGGCCUGACUUACAUAAACACAUUGGGGUUUUUUCUGUUUUUCUUUUUUGGUUUUUUUUUGGUUUUUUUUUUUUUUUUUUGUUUUGUUUUGUUUUUUUAAAGCAAACAAGCAAGCUAGCCUGUUUUGUUCUGUACAGGAAAUAAAAUCUGCAUCAAUACAGUAAAAAAGCAAGGAAUGCAAAGUGUAUCCAGCCUUGGCCCCCUGGCAGCCACCUCUCAAAAGGGAUUGGAUUCUUAUACAUACCGGAGUUUGGAGGAUUCUUCAACUUUUGGUUGAUUUGUCAGGCCUGUGGAUCCCACCAAACCUCACCAGAGAUUGGCCAUGUUUAUAGUACCCCUUCCUUCACACAUGCAGAUGUCCUCAGCAAAAAGCUGCUGCAUUAAAAAAAAGUGUACAGGAUUUUUGGUACCUAGGAGAGGUGUGUCCCUCUGUCCUGCUGCUGGGAGGAAGCAGCCUCUGAGGAGAGUGAGAACAUGAAAUUUGGAGUGAACAUCUCCUCUAGUCAGCAUGGAAAGAGCUGGCAAAACCUGCCACUCAGAAUCAGAUUUUGCACAAGGUCUUGGGCUGCUUGGAAACAUUGCAUUUAGGAGAAGUGAAGCCAGAAGAGUGAGAUGCUAUUGCUUUUUCACCCCACGCACCAUCAGCAGCUAGAUAUGCUGAAUUUGCUGUGUGCAAGACCACAGUGCAACAAUAAUUGUUUUCCUAAUUACAUAACAGAAGCUUUAAAAAGGGGAAAUGGAUGCUUGGAUAAUGCUAUAGCACAAGGUCUUGGUUCUAGCUUUUUCAAGUAGAAGAAAAUAAUAAUUUUCUCCCCUUAAAAAAGCAAGGUUUUGCAUCCAUGUACACUCAUAUACUCCUUUGAAUCAGUGGAUAUGUAAAUUGUAUCAGCCUAUGACUUUCCAGUUUGGUGGCUAUCUAUUAAGGUGAUUUAGCUAAUAAUUUUAAAUGAUUUUUCCCAUCAAUAGUUUGGGGUAUUCCACAAGGUAUUUCUAUUUGAUUUUGUGUUGUUUCCUUGAGUAUUAAUAAAAAUUGAUUUAGGCAAUAAACUUGGUGGUGGCAACCCAAUAAAUAAGAGAGACCUUGUGAAGUGGUAUUGAAAUAGAAGACUUAUUGUAAAUUGCCUGAGCAACAACUUUCCCCUUCAGAUGCCAAACCAUCAACAAGUAGCACUAAUUUAUGUGCACUAGCCAUACUGCUGUAAGGUAAGGACAGGCUGUUUUUUCUUGUAAAAAAUCCAGUAAGAUCUUGUCCCUUCUAAGAAACUGCUUUAGCGCAAAUCUGUCAUUCAACUGCUUGUCAGCUGUUUCUAAAUUUAUGUUAGAGGAGCGAGUUCUGGGAAACUGAGGCGCUACACUUUUCUUCCCCUUCUUUUUUAAAGAAAGGGGUGAUGAAAGGGUGAAAGUGCACUGUGAUAGGGUAUGGACAAAAGAGCUGCAGUGCCCAAAAAAUUGUGUUAAAAUGAUAAGGUACUGUGAACUUCCUAUGAUCUAGAGGUCCUGAAUUCCUCAGAAUCAUACCUAAAAGAAAAAAAA
This 4924-nucleotide long non-coding RNA is filed under the name Taeniopygia guttata (zebra finch). Its description in RNAcentral is "lncRNA (ENSTGUG00000025026.1)". Lineage: Eukaryota; Metazoa; Chordata; Aves; Passeriformes; Estrildidae. The record is from RNAcentral.